GACGAACGCUGGCGGCGUGCCUAAUACAUGCAAGUAGAACGCUGAAGGAGGAGCUUGCUUCUCCGGAUGAGUUGCGAACGGGUGAGUAACGCGUAGGUAACCUGCCUGGUAGCGGGGGAUAACUAUUGGAAACGAUAGCUAAUACCGCAUAACAGUAGAUAUUGCAUGAUAUCUGCUUGAAAGGUGCAAUUGCAUCACUACCAGAUGGACCUGCGUUGUAUUAGCUAGUUGGUGAGGUAACGGCUCACCAAGGCGACGAUACAUAGCCGACCUGAGAGGGGGAACGGCCACACUGGGACUGAGGCACGGCCCAGACUCCUACGGGAGGCAGCAGUAGGGAAUCUUCGGCAAUGGACGGAAGUCUGACCGAGCAACGCCGCGUGAGUGAAGAAGGUUUUCGGAUCGUAAAGCUCUGUUGUAAGAGAAGAACGAGUGUGAGAGUGGAAAGUUCACACUGUGACGGUAUCUUACCAGAAGGGGACGGCUAACUACGUG
RNAcentral lists this ribosomal RNA (495 nucleotides) under uncultured bacterium. Its description in RNAcentral is "partial 16S ribosomal RNA". It matches the Rfam family "Bacterial small subunit ribosomal RNA", at positions 28 to 507 of the family's 1533-position model. The record is from RNAcentral.